AACGUAGGGGACGAGCGUUGUCCGGAUUUAUUGGGCGUAAAGAGCGCGCAGGCGGCUUCGCAAGUCGGGUGUGAAAAUCCGGGGCUCAACCCCGGACCUGCAUUCGAUACUGCGUGGCCAGAGGCAGGCAGGGGAGAUCGGAAUUCCUGGUGUAGCGGUGAAAUGCGCAGAUAUCAGGAGGAACACCGGUGGCGAAGGCGGAUCUCUGGGCCUGUCCUGACGCUCAGGCGCGAAAGCUAGGGGAGCGAACAGG
This 253-nucleotide ribosomal RNA is filed under the name uncultured bacterium. RNAcentral describes it as "partial 16S ribosomal RNA". It matches the Rfam family "Bacterial small subunit ribosomal RNA", at positions 524 to 776 of the family's 1533-position model. The record is from RNAcentral.